This 327-nucleotide ribosomal RNA is filed under the name uncultured eukaryote. RNAcentral's name for it is "partial 18S ribosomal RNA". It matches the Rfam family "Eukaryotic small subunit ribosomal RNA", at positions 1470 to 1796 of the family's 1831-position model. The record is from RNAcentral.
CCCUUAGAUGUUCUGGGCCGCACGCGCGCUACACUGACGAAUGCAACGAGCUUAUAACCUUGGCCGAAAGGUCUGGGUAAUCUCCAAAUUUCGUCGUGAUGGGGAUAGAUUAUUGCAAUUAUUAAUCUUCAACGAGGAAUGCCUAGUAAGCGCCAGUCAUCAGCUUGCGUUGAUUACGUCCCUGCCCUUUGUACACACCGCCCGUCGCUCCUACCGAUUGAAUGGUCCGGUGAAGCGUUCGGACCGUGGCCUUUGGACGGUUCGCCGUCUGUUGGCUGCGGGAAGUUCGUUAAACCUUAUCAUUUAGAGGAAGGAGAANUCGUANCA